RNAcentral lists this ribosomal RNA (639 nucleotides) under uncultured Bacteroidales bacterium. RNAcentral describes it as "bacterial SSU rRNA". It matches the Rfam family "Bacterial small subunit ribosomal RNA", at positions 81 to 720 of the family's 1533-position model. Lineage: Bacteria; Pseudomonadati; Bacteroidota; Bacteroidia; Bacteroidales. The record is from RNAcentral.
CAAUUGCCGGCGACCGGCGCACGGGUGCGUAACGCGUAUGUAACCUACCUAUAACAGGGGCAUAACACUGAGAAAUUGGUACUAAUUCCCCAUAAUACUCGGAGAGGCGUCUCUCCGGGUUGAAAACUCCGGUGGUUAUAGAUGGACAUGCGUUGUAUUAGCUAGUUGGUGAGGUAACGGCUCACCAAGGCAACGAUACAUAGGGGGACUGAGAGGUUAACCCCCCACACUGGUACUGAGACACGGACCAGGCUCCUACGGGAGGCAGCAGUGAGGAAUAUUGGUCAAUGGACGCAAGUCUGAACCAGCCAUGCCGCGUGCAGGAAGACGGCUCUAUGAGUUGUAAACUGCUUUUGUACGAGGGUAAACUCACCUACGUGUAGGUGACUGAAAGUAUCGUACGAAUAAGGAUCGGCUAACUCCGUGCCAGCAGCCGCGGUAAUACGGAGGAUUCAAGCGUUAUCCGGAUUUAUUGGGUUUAAAGGGUGCGUAGGCGGUUUGAUAAGUUAGAGGUGAAAUCCCGGGGCUUAACUCCGGAACUGCCUCUAAUACUGUUAGACUAGAGAGUAGUUGCGGUAGGCGGAAUGUAUGGUGUAGCGGUGAAAUGCUUAGAGAUCAUACAGAACACCGAUUGCGAAG